This is a long non-coding RNA of Ctenocephalides felis (cat flea), 189 nucleotides long. RefSeq lists it as uncharacterized. The transcript is spliced from 3 exons. The record is from RefSeq and is a predicted model, not a curated record. NCBI's taxonomy places the organism in Eukaryota, Metazoa, Arthropoda, Insecta, Siphonaptera, Pulicidae.
GUCACGUGCCAAGUUGUUUCAACUAAUGAAUAUUGAAUUGCACGUCUUAAGUGAUGGCCAGAACUUGGUAUAUCAAUGUCAAUUCAUAAAAAUGAUGUAGAGGCAGUGGCAGAUUGUCGAAGGAGAGUAAUCUUACUUCAGGCUUCUUUGAGCUGUAUUGAAGUGUGUGGAUUAGACAAAUCUCCUUUA